GUCUCGUAUCAUCGACUUCAAGGGAAUACCCUCCGACAGGGGAAGAGCUUCGGUAGGACACUGUCGUUGGAGGACAAGAGCGCCAUGACUCAAAUUAGUGCCAGAAGAUAAAAAGAAGGAAAAGGAUACAAAAAAAAGAGAGGGGGGGACCCUCCGUAAAGACAAAUCCAGCUUCAUUGAUCAAAUAAAUUUCAAGUACAAGAGAACGAGGAAAAAAUCACCACAAAGGAAAAAUAUAAAACUAGAGGUUUCGGACCUCUGGGGUAGAAGUAGAGGGG
This 278-nucleotide long non-coding RNA is filed under the name Elaeis guineensis (African oil palm). Its description in RNAcentral is "long non-coding RNA (EGUI_LNC047072)". Lineage: Eukaryota; Viridiplantae; Streptophyta; Magnoliopsida; Arecales; Arecaceae. The record is from RNAcentral.